RNAcentral lists this ribosomal RNA (2904 nucleotides) under Escherichia coli. RNAcentral's name for it is "23S ribosomal RNA". It matches the Rfam family "Bacterial large subunit ribosomal RNA". The record is from RNAcentral. Lineage: Bacteria; Pseudomonadati; Pseudomonadota; Gammaproteobacteria; Enterobacterales; Enterobacteriaceae.
GGUUAAGCGACUAAGCGUACACGGUGGAUGCCCUGGCAGUCAGAGGCGAUGAAGGACGUGCUAAUCUGCGAUAAGCGUCGGUAAGGUGAUAUGAACCGUUAUAACCGGCGAUUUCCGAAUGGGGAAACCCAGUGUGAUUCGUCACACUAUCAUUAACUGAAUCCAUAGGUUAAUGAGGCGAACCGGGGGAACUGAAACAUCUAAGUACCCCGAGGAAAAGAAAUCAACCGAGAUUCCCCCAGUAGCGGCGAGCGAACGGGGAGCAGCCCAGAGCCUGAAUCAGUGUGUGUGUUAGUGGAAGCGUCUGGAAAGGCGUGCGAUACAGGGUGACAGCCCCGUACACAAAAAUGCACAUGCUGUGAGCUCGAUGAGUAGGGCGGGACACGUGGUAUCCUGUCUGAAUAUGGGGGGACCAUCCUCCAAGGCUAAAUACUCCUGACUGACCGAUAGUGAACCAGUACCGUGAGGGAAAGGCGAAAAGAACCCCGGCGAGGGGAGUGAAAAAGAACCUGAAACCGUGUACGUACAAGCAGUGGGAGCACGCUUAGGCGUGUGACUGCGUACCUUUUGUAUAAUGGGUCAGCGACUUAUAUUCUGUAGCAAGGUUAACCGAAUAGGGGAGCCGAAGGGAAACCGAGUCUUAACUGGGCGUUAAGUUGCAGGGUAUAGACCCGAAACCCGGUGAUCUAGCCAUGGGCAGGUUGAAGGUUGGGUAACACUAACUGGAGGACCGAACCGACUAAUGUUGAAAAAUUAGCGGAUGACUUGUGGCUGGGGGUGAAAGGCCAAUCAAACCGGGAGAUAGCUGGUUCUCCCCGAAAGCUAUUUAGGUAGCGCCUCGUGAAUUCAUCUCCGGGGGUAGAGCACUGUUUCGGCAAGGGGGUCAUCCCGACUUACCAACCCGAUGCAAACUGCGAAUACCGGAGAAUGUUAUCACGGGAGACACACGGCGGGUGCUAACGUCCGUCGUGAAGAGGGAAACAACCCAGACCGCCAGCUAAGGUCCCAAAGUCAUGGUUAAGUGGGAAACGAUGUGGGAAGGCCCAGACAGCCAGGAUGUUGGCUUAGAAGCAGCCAUCAUUUAAAGAAAGCGUAAUAGCUCACUGGUCGAGUCGGCCUGCGCGGAAGAUGUAACGGGGCUAAACCAUGCACCGAAGCUGCGGCAGCGACGCUGAUGCGUUGUUGGGUAGGGGAGCGUUCUGUAAGCCUGUGAAGGUGUACUGUGAGGUAUGCUGGAGGUAUCAGAAGUGCGAAUGCUGACAUAAGUAACGAUAAAGCGGGUGAAAAGCCCGCUCGCCGGAAGACCAAGGGUUCCUGUCCAACGUUAAUCGGGGCAGGGUGAGUCGACCCCUAAGGCGAGGCCGAAAGGCGUAGUCGAUGGGAAACAGGUUAAUAUUCCUGUACUUGGUGUUACUGCGAAGGGGGGACGGAGAAGGCUAUGUUGGCCGGGCGACGGUUGUCCCGGUUUAAGCGUGUAGGCUGGUUUUCCAGGCAAAUCCGGAAAAUCAAGGCUGAGGCGUGAUGACGAGGCACUACGGUGCUGAAGCAACAAAUGCCCUGCUUCCAGGAAAAGCCUCUAAGCAUCAGGUAACAUCAAAUCGUACCCCAAACCGACACAGGUGGUCAGGUAGAGAAUACCAAGGCGCUUGAGAGAACUCGGGUGAAGGAACUAGGCAAAAUGGUGCCGUAACUUCGGGAGAAGGCACGCUGAUAUGUAGGUGAAGUCCCUCGCGGAUGGAGCUGAAAUCAGUCGAAGAUACCAGCUGGCUGCAACUGUUUAUUAAAAACACAGCACUGUGCAAACACGAAAGUGGACGUAUACGGUGUGACGCCUGCCCGGUGCCGGAAGGUUAAUUGAUGGGGUCAGCGCAAGCGAAGCUCUUGAUCGAAGCCCCGGUAAACGGCGGCCGUAACUAUAACGGUCCUAAGGUAGCGAAAUUCCUUGUCGGGUAAGUUCCGACCUGCACGAAUGGCGUAAUGAUGGCCAGGCUGUCUCCACCCGAGACUCAGUGAAAUUGAACUCGCUGUGAAGAUGCAGUGUACCCGCGGCAAGACGGAAAGACCCCGUGAACCUUUACUAUAGCUUGACACUGAACAUUGAGCCUUGAUGUGUAGGAUAGGUGGGAGGCUUUGAAGUGUGGACGCCAGUCUGCAUGGAGCCGACCUUGAAAUACCACCCUUUAAUGUUUGAUGUUCUAACGUUGACCCGUAAUCCGGGUUGCGGACAGUGUCUGGUGGGUAGUUUGACUGGGGCGGUCUCCUCCUAAAGAGUAACGGAGGAGCACGAAGGUUGGCUAAUCCUGGUCGGACAUCAGGAGGUUAGUGCAAUGGCAUAAGCCAGCUUGACUGCGAGCGUGACGGCGCGAGCAGGUGCGAAAGCAGGUCAUAGUGAUCCGGUGGUUCUGAAUGGAAGGGCCAUCGCUCAACGGAUAAAAGGUACUCCGGGGAUAACAGGCUGAUACCGCCCAAGAGUUCAUAUCGACGGCGGUGUUUGGCACCUCGAUGUCGGCUCAUCACAUCCUGGGGCUGAAGUAGGUCCCAAGGGUAUGGCUGUUCGCCAUUUAAAGUGGUACGCGAGCUGGGUUUAGAACGUCGUGAGACAGUUCGGUCCCUAUCUGCCGUGGGCGCUGGAGAACUGAGGGGGGCUGCUCCUAGUACGAGAGGACCGGAGUGGACGCAUCACUGGUGUUCGGGUUGUCAUGCCAAUGGCACUGCCCGGUAGCUAAAUGCGGAAGAGAUAAGUGCUGAAAGCAUCUAAGCACGAAACUUGCCCCGAGAUGAGUUCUCCCUGACUCCUUGAGAGUCCUGAAGGAACGUUGAAGACGACGACGUUGAUAGGCCGGGUGUGUAAGCGCAGCGAUGCGUUGAGCUAACCGGUACUAAUGAACCGUGAGGCUUAACCUU